This 927-nucleotide ribosomal RNA is filed under the name Peracreadium idoneum. RNAcentral's name for it is "eukaryotic LSU rRNA". It matches the Rfam family "Eukaryotic large subunit ribosomal RNA", at positions 41 to 636 of the family's 3401-position model. Lineage: Eukaryota; Metazoa; Platyhelminthes; Trematoda; Plagiorchiida; Opecoelidae. The record is from RNAcentral.
UAUCACUAAGCGGAGGAAAAGAAACUAACAAGGAUUCCCUUAGUAACGGCGAGUGAACAGGGAAAAGCCCAGCACCGAAGCCUAUGGUCAAUUGGCCAUCAGGCAAUGUGGUGUUCAGGUCGUUCCGCAGACGCACUGCUCCACCCUAAGUCCAAUAAUGAGUACGGUGGUACGGACAUGGCCCAUUGAGGGUGAAAGGCCCGUGGGGGUGGAGAUCAGGCUUGACAGUGCUACUCUGGGAGGACCUUGGAGUCGGGUUGUUUGUGAAUGCAGCCCAAAGCGGGUGGUAAACUCCAUCCAAGGCUAAAUACAAGCACGAGUCCGAUAGAGAACAAGUACCGUGAGGGAAAGUUGAAAAGUACUCUGAAGAGAGAGUAAACAGUGCGUGAAGCCGCUCAGAGGUAAACGGGUGGAGUUGAACUGUGAGUUCCGAGGGUUCAGCUGGUGAUUUUGAUUGGGCUUGGCUAAAUUGGUCGGGCUCUGGGGUCUGUUUAGCUGCAGGUCUCCGCCUUCGGGUGGGGAUGCGCGAUGCACUCGUUGAGUGUUGUGCGCCCUAGUGUUCCCGGGCCUAGUCGCCAGUGCACUCCCUCGGGACGGUCACCACGACCGGCACUGCCGUCUGUCUGUUGCGGUUAAACCUUCCGUGCUUUGUCCUUGUGGCUUUGUGCGGUCGGGAUGGCAGGUAGCUCGUUGGUUUGUUCGCAGACUUUCGGGUGUAAUCAGCUGACUGCAAUUUGGCUGUGCGGUGUGUCGGGGACGGCGGCUUGAGGUGUGUGCGUGCGUGCUAGUCUUGCUGGCGUGUCCGUGUUUGGUUGCUCAGUUGCUCACAUAGUGGGCCAAGCGGCGACUGGGACGCGUGCGGUGGGCGGUUGCGUACGUGGCACUAUUCUUGGGCCUACAGUCUGUGGUGUUGCGGUAGACUAACCA